RNAcentral lists this ribosomal RNA (301 nucleotides) under uncultured bacterium. RNAcentral describes it as "partial 16S ribosomal RNA". It matches the Rfam family "Bacterial small subunit ribosomal RNA", at positions 509 to 807 of the family's 1533-position model. The record is from RNAcentral.
CAGUAGCCACGGUAAUACGGAGGGUGCAAGCGUUAUCCGGAUUUAUUGGGUUUAAAGGGUCCGUAGGCGGAUCUGUAAGUCAGUGGUGAAAUCUCACAGCUUAACUGUGAAACUGCCAUUGAUACUGCAGGUCUUGAGUAAAUUUGAAGUGGCUGGAAUAAGUAGUGUAGCGGUGAAAUGCAUAGAUAUUACUUAGAACACCAAUUGCGAAGGCAGGUCACUAAGAUUUAACUGACGCUGAUGGACGAAAGCGUGGGGAGCAAACAGGAUUAGAUACCCCUGUAGUCCCUGUCUCUUAUAC